CGCACGGGUGCGUAACACGUGGGUAACCUGCCCUCCAAAGGGGGAUAACCCCGCGAAAGCGGGGCUAAUACCGCAUGACAUUCCAAAUUCUUCGGAAUUCGGAUUCAAAGCCCGCAAGGGCGUUGGGGGAGGGGCCCGCGGCCGAUUAGCUUGUUGGCGAGGUAACGGCUCACCAAGGCAAUGAUCGGUAGCCGGUCUGAGAGGAUGGCCGGCCACACUGGAACUGAGACACGGUCCAG
Molecule: ribosomal RNA, 239 nt
Filed under: uncultured bacterium
Lineage: Bacteria
Description: partial 16S ribosomal RNA
Rfam family: Bacterial small subunit ribosomal RNA
Source: RNAcentral